CAGCAGCAGCAAGCAAAUGCAGCAGUAGUAAUAGAAGAAGGAGAAACAGCAGAGGAGAGUGAGGAUAAACAGGAAAAUGAAGGGAGAGAAGGAAGAUAAGAACAAGGAAAAAAAGCUGGAGCAGUGUAAAGGCAUCAGUAAAAUUCAAUCAUUCAUCAUUCUACAUAUUUGCUGGAAAAAUAGCUUUUGUCCUUUAACUACACUUCAAGGUUUUAUUGGCGGUUUGAGACCAUCCAGAUAUCUCUCUCUGUGCACAGGAAUGAACAGCACUCCAGAUGGUGCAGCUCCGUCAGCCUUGAUGCCCAAUUGUACACAAUGAAUGGACUUCCCACCUGGCUAUAUGUUAUAUGCUCAAACAAGAAUGACCAUACAGCAUUAAUGACACAUAUAACUGCUACUUACAGACAAUUGGAUUUGUGCUUUGUAUUUUAUGGAUGUAUAAACUUACCCAGGCUGUCUGAUCCACCCCCUUCUCACAUUUAGUUUAAUAAAAAAAUUAGAAGCCAUCAUCUAAGAAACCCAUGCAAUCCUUGUUUGUCUCUGAAGCAUCCAUGUAUCUUCCAUUCUGUGUGAAUUUAAUGUCACCUGUACUCCUGGUUUUACUUACUUAAUUCUCUUGGCACCCUCAUUUUAUCAUUGUCUAUCUUAUCUAUGUAACCCAUCCCUUCUAUUAUAUUUAGAUGAC
Long non-coding RNA from Homo sapiens (human), 685 nucleotides. NCBI's taxonomy places the organism in Eukaryota, Metazoa, Chordata, Mammalia, Primates, Hominidae. The record is from Ensembl.